CUUUAAAAGCACUUGGGGACUUUUUAAAGUGCAGCUAACCCGCCUGAGAGGGGCAGGAGCUGCAGUCGUGCAGGCGGGGAGAGCUGGCAUGCUGCAGGGAAAUAAAGAGCUGUUGCCAUGUUGGCUCCUCUGCAAUUCCAGAUUCACUUUCCGCUGUGAAAACAUUGUUACGACAUUGCCCAAAGGAACAGGCUGCUUGCAAGGCAAGGGAAGCUUGAAAACCACAAUGCUCCUCACCAAGGUAUGAUCAUCUGGUGGGAAUUCCCAACUUCUUAAGCAUCUUGUCUGCAUCUAAGGACAUUUGUAUGGCAAGACAGGGGGAGCAGCAUGGAGACUGCAAGCGCUCACCCAUAUUGGAUGGGUGGUUAAGACAGAAAGGUGACCAGCAUAAAUCCCGCGCCAUGCAACGGGUGCAUGCUCCAUUGUUAUUGCAGAUGUGUCAAUCCCCGGAAACAAAAGAAUCGACACCCGUCUAGGAACAAGCUCCGUUAGUUAGCAAUUCAGAAUGACUUCCAAAAGCAAUCCCUUAGUCUCCAAUGAUAUCUGUCUGACAACUACUUAAUCUCGGCAAGAGCUGCGUUAAACCAGCCUGUCAUCAUUGCUACCUCUCAGGUGUAGCUUGAAAAGCGGAGAAAGAGAGAGAGAUCUAUGAGUUUCAAUCACUUAGAAGAAAUUAUAACUUUUUAGAAGCCUGUAUGCAGAUAGCAUUUACCAUAUUGAAUGGAAGAUGACAGUUCCCAUAUAGACAGAGAGGUACAAUGCAAAAUGCCAGCUUCCAGGUGAUUCUAUCCCAUCUCUGAGGCUGUCGGGAGCUAUCAAAUUAAUGUUGAAAUAAUUGUCACUUGUGAAUACCUGCCAGUGUAACCAAGUCAGGUAUUUAAAAAAAAAAUCCCAAUUGAUCAACCUCAAAAACUGUUCUGAAUACUUAAGGAAAAAAGUUUUGCUGAGGUGUGACUCUGUUACAUAUUCAUUUCAGCAGAAAGAUACUUUUUUUUUUUUAAGAAUAGAAGCAAAAAUGAAAGUGCUUAAGUGUCUUCAUUGAAACAGUGUUAAUAUCAUCACUGAUUCCUUGAUUAUUUGAAUUGCAACUACUUUUAUGAUAAGAGAAGCAAAUAAAGAUUAGCUAAUGCUUGAACCUCUUGCUACU
Molecule: long non-coding RNA, 1147 nt
Filed under: Phasianus colchicus (ring-necked pheasant)
Lineage: Eukaryota; Metazoa; Chordata; Aves; Galliformes; Phasianidae
Description: lncRNA (ENSPCLG00000009375.1)
Source: RNAcentral